This 682-nucleotide long non-coding RNA is filed under the name Homo sapiens (human). Its description in RNAcentral is "HSALNT0215878". Lineage: Eukaryota; Metazoa; Chordata; Mammalia; Primates; Hominidae. The record is from RNAcentral.
GGAGGAGAAGGGUGGGGGUGAUAGGAAGGGAGGGCUGGUGGAGACAGGAGGGGAAGGGUGGGGGUGAUAGGAAAGGAGGGGUGGGCUAACAGGAGGGGAAGGAUUGGGGGACGGGAGGGGUAGUGGGGACGGGAGCUGGAGAAGGGGAAGGGGCUUGCCAGUGAUGAUGGUGGUCGGUGGGGUGACAGGGUUUUUGGGGUGAGGCUGGGAGGGGCUGGGGACGCGUGCUGUGGGACUCAGGGCUGACGGUAGGGAGGGGCCUGGUGGGGACAGAGGCGGGUAGGAGGGGCUCUGCAGAGUGCAGAUGAUGCGGAGGAGGCGGUGAGGGUGGGGCGGGGCUUGGAAUCAGGAUGACAAAGGACCGGGAGUGAGGAGACCAAUGGCUUGGUGGGGAGAGUGGGGUGUUGGGAGUUUGGGCAGAUGCUGGUCGGGCUUUGAGUCAGGAUGAGGGGGCUUGGGUAGUGGCUGGAGGACGAUGAGGUGAUGAGGUCGAUAUUGUGUCAUGACGAUGGCGCAGGUGACCAAUGGAUGGGUGACUGUGAGUUGUGUGUGGGUGACUGAUGUGACUGACUGUAGAUGACGAAGGUGAUGAUGACUUAGAAAUAAACACCUGGAGCAAGGUAAACACGGCAGGCAAUGCUCAAUAAAGCUAAGAGUAUAGAUUCUUAUCCAAAUAAUCUAA